UACGAGAGGCCCAAACGUUAUUCGGAAUUACUGGGCUUAAAGAGUUCGUAGGCGGCGCAGCAAGUAGGGUGUGAAAGCCCUCGGCUUAACCGAGGAAUUGCGCUCUAAACUACUGUGCUUGAGGAACCUAGAGGUGAGCAGAACUGAUGGUGGAGCGGUGAAAUGCGUUGAUAUCAUCAGGAAUACCGGAGGCGAAGGCGGCUCACUGGGGGUUUUCUGACGCUGAGGAACGAAAGCCAGGGGAGCGAACGGG
RNAcentral lists this ribosomal RNA (253 nucleotides) under uncultured bacterium. Its description in RNAcentral is "partial 16S ribosomal RNA". It matches the Rfam family "Bacterial small subunit ribosomal RNA", at positions 524 to 776 of the family's 1533-position model. The record is from RNAcentral.